Molecule: long non-coding RNA, 389 nt
Organism: Mytilus californianus (California mussel)
Lineage: Eukaryota; Metazoa; Mollusca; Bivalvia; Mytilida; Mytilidae
Exons: 2
Source: RefSeq, a predicted model, not a curated record
AUCUGCUAAAUAAAUGAGAUCUUAAGAAAAAACGAUUCUUUCUGAAGUAUUUCUUCAAAACCAUAAAACGACUACUCAAAAACGCUUUUGUAGUUGCUAAAGCAAUAUGGGAAUUCAUUUUAGUUCUUUAGAAUUCUUUUACUUCCUAAGCUUGGAGUUUUUGGAUUUAAAUAAGUUCAAAUCGUGAGGAUUUUGCUUUUAUACAAGAAGAUUAUAAUCGCUGGGGCCAUUAGGCGAUAGAAAAGCUUAACGAAAACGACGGGAAAGAGAUAUGUAAAUAGGUACACAGAACGAUAUAUUUUUGGUGCACAAGUACCUUAUAUUGGUAUGCAGGACUUAGUAACCACAACUAUCACGAGAAUCGUUCAAAUGAAUAAAACUAAAAACGA